UUACUUACCUGGACGGUGUCAAUGGGACGAUCAAGAAGGCUCAUGGCCUAGGUUGGUGACCUCCAUUGCAGUUUGGAGGGGUGCCUGCCUAAGGUCAAUCCAAGUGGUCGAGCCUACGUCAUAAUUUGUGGCAGUGGGGGACUGCGUUCUCGCAGGCCCUAC
Molecule: non-coding RNA, 162 nt
Organism: Capsicum annuum
Lineage: Eukaryota; Viridiplantae; Streptophyta; Magnoliopsida; Solanales; Solanaceae
Source: Rfam